RNAcentral lists this ribosomal RNA (429 nucleotides) under Chloroflexota bacterium. Its description in RNAcentral is "Chloroflexi bacterium partial 16S ribosomal RNA". It matches the Rfam family "Bacterial small subunit ribosomal RNA", at positions 355 to 776 of the family's 1533-position model. Lineage: Bacteria; Bacillati; Chloroflexota. The record is from RNAcentral.
UGGGGAAUAUUGCACAAUGGGCGCAAGCCUGAUGCAGCCAUGCUGCGUGUGUGAAGAAGGCCGUUGGGUUGUAAAGCACUUUCAGCGGGGAGGAAGGCGUUAAGGUUAAUAACCUUGGCGAUUGACGUUACCCGCAGAAGAAGCACCGGCUAACUCCGUGCCAGCAGCCGCGGUAAUACGGAGGGUGCAAGCGUUAAUCGGAAUUACUGGGCGUAAAGCGCACGCAGGCGGUCUGUCAAGUCGGAUAUGAACUCCCCGGGCUCAACCUGAGAACUGUGUUCGAAACUGGCAGGCUAGAGUCUUGUAGAGGGGUGUAGAAUUCCAGGUGUAGCGGUGAAAUGCGUAACGCACUGGGGGAAUACCUGUGGCGAAGGCGGCCCCCUGGACAAAGACUGACGCUCAGGUGCGAAGGCGUGGGGAGCAAACAGG